RNAcentral lists this small nucleolar RNA (86 nucleotides) under Oryza sativa Indica Group (long-grained rice). Its description in RNAcentral is "Small nucleolar RNA SNORD24". The record is from RNAcentral. RNAcentral also lists the same sequence under 1 other name. Lineage: Eukaryota; Viridiplantae; Streptophyta; Magnoliopsida; Poales; Poaceae.
UGACAAAAGAAAAAGAGAAAUAAAAACACUCAUUUUUUUCAAAUAAAAAAGAGAAAAUACUUUCCAUUGGCAUGAUUUUUGAGUCA